AGCAGUCUCAUCGAGCAUUAAAGACGUUGCUGGGCUCAGAUUCAGGUCAUAAUUCACAUUUUCUGCACCUCUGACUCGCAGCAGUGACUUCAGUUCCCCAUCAUGGAGAAAGUGUGCACCCAGAGCCGGUGAGGUACGACAUGUCUUCCCAUCCCCUUGUUUUCUGUUGCGGUUUCAAGAUUCUCCCAGACUACCCAGCCUGUUUCCAUGGCUCCUACCCAGUACAGAUCACUGCGGACCGAAGUAUGGAAAGAGAAGACAAACUGUUAUGAGAAAUAAUAAGGUGACAAGCAUCAUCAUCUCUCUCCUGGAACCCUCUCUUCCACGCUAGAUAGUCUGUCACAUGCCCCUGCACACUCCUGCUGCACGUGGCAGAUGAGCUUCUCACCGUUUCGAGGUCAGCGAUGGUGUCCACGGAUAGUGACUCACAUCAUCCCGAGAUGUGUGGGUGUCACAGGAAGUUGACAACCUUCAUAUCCAUGGUCCGCAUCCUAUGAGGGCCGAGCAAAAUGUUUGCAAUAACCUCAAAAAUUAAAAGAGAUAAU
Molecule: long non-coding RNA, 545 nt
Organism: Mesocricetus auratus (golden hamster)
Lineage: Eukaryota; Metazoa; Chordata; Mammalia; Rodentia; Cricetidae
Exons: 3
Source: RefSeq, a predicted model, not a curated record